Molecule: ribosomal RNA, 301 nt
Filed under: uncultured bacterium
Lineage: Bacteria
Description: partial 16S ribosomal RNA
Rfam family: Bacterial small subunit ribosomal RNA
Source: RNAcentral
CAGUAGCCGCGGUAAAACGUAGGGUGCAAGCGUUAAUCGGAAUUACUGGGCGUAAAGCGUGCGCAGGCGGUUUUGUAAGACAGAGGUGAAAUCCCCGGGCUCAACCUGGGAACUGCCUUUGUGACUGCAAGGCUAGAGUACGGCAGAGGGGGAUGGAAUUCCGCGUGUAGCAGUGAAAUGCGUAGAUAUGCGGAGGAACACCGAUGGCGAAGGCAAUCCCCUGGGCCUGUACUGACGCUCAUGCACGAAAGCGUGGGGAGCAAACAGGAUUAGAUACCCGAGUAGUCCCUGUCUCUUAUAC